Molecule: non-coding RNA, 110 nt
Filed under: Caldibacillus debilis
Lineage: Bacteria; Bacillati; Bacillota; Bacilli; Caryophanales; Bacillaceae
Description: SAM-I sequence
Rfam family: SAM riboswitch aptamer (S box leader)
About the family: The SAM riboswitch is found upstream of a number of genes which code for proteins involved in methionine or cysteine biosynthesis in Gram-positive bacteria.
Source: RNAcentral
CUCUUAUUGCGAGCAGGCGGAGGGACUGCCCCGAGGAAGCCCGGCAACCUGCUUAUUGACAAAUAAGUAAGGUGCUCAACUGAGCAAGGGAAUUCCUUGAACGAUAAGAG